Molecule: ribosomal RNA, 2317 nt
Filed under: human metagenome
Description: bacterial LSU rRNA
Rfam family: Bacterial large subunit ribosomal RNA
Source: RNAcentral
UGUGUGGGGUGGUGGCGUGCCUUUUGAAGAAUGAGCCUGCGAGUUAGUGUUUUGUCGCGAGGUUAACCCGUGUGGGGUAGUCGUAGCGAAAGCGAGUCUGAAUAGGGCGUUGUAGUGGCAGGAUCUAGACCCGAAGCGGAGUGAUCUAUCCAUGGCCAGGUUGAAGCACGUGUAAGAGCGUGUGGAGGACCGAACCCACCUAGGUUGAAAACUGGGGGGAUGAGCUGUGGAUAGGGGUGAAAGGCCAAUCAAACUCUGUGAUAGCUGGUUCUCCCCGAAAUGCAUUUAGGUGCAGCGUUACAUGUUUCUUGCUGGAGGUAGAGCUACUGGAUGGCCGAUGGGCCCGCGAGGGUUACUGACGUUAGCUAAACUCCGAAUGCCGGUAAGUGAGAGUGUAGCAGUGAGACAGUGGGGGAUAAGCUUCAUUGUCGAGAGGGAAACAGCCCAGACCAUCAACUAAGGCCCCUAAGCGUGUGCUAAGUGGGAAAGGAUGUGGAGUUGCUGAGACAACCAGGAGGUUGGCUUAGAAGCAGCCAUCCUUGAAAGAGUGCGUAAUAGCUCACUGGUCAAGUGAUUCUGCGCCGAUAAUGUAGCGGGGCUCAAGUACACCGCCGAAGUUGUGGCAAUCAGUCUUUGUGGCUGGUUGGGUAGGGGAGCGUCCUGCACGAGGUGAAGCUGCCACGGGAGUGUGUGGUGGAUUGUGUGGGAGUGAGAAUGCAGGCAUGAGUAGCGAAUCACGGGUGAGAAACCCGUGCGCCGGAUGAUCAAGGGUUCCAGGGUCAAGUUAAUCUGCCCUGGGUUAGUCGGGGCCUAAGGCGAGGCCGACAGGCGUAGUCGAUGGAGAACGGGUUGAUAUUCCCGUACCAGUGAAGGACCGUCCAUACUGAUAUUGUGAUGCUAACCAUGCCGAUCACGGUGUCAUGAAGUUUUUCUUUGUGGUGUUGUGGGGUGUGUGGGACCCAAGCUUUGGAGGUAAGCGUGUUAACAGGUGUGACGCAGGAAGGUAGCCAAGCCACGCGGUGGUUGUCGUGGUCUAAGCGUGUAGGAUGACUGGUUGUUAAAUGCGCCGGUUGUGUGUCUGAGACGUGAUGGGACCCCUUGUUUGUGGGGGAUUUGGUGAUCCUAUGCUGCCGAGAAAAGCAUCGGCGUGAGGUUUUAGCUGCCCGUACCCGAAACCGACACAGGUGAUCAGGUAGAGAAUACUAAGGCGAUCGAGAGAAUCAUGGUUAAGGAACUCGGCAAAAUGCCCCCGUAACUUCGGGAGAAGGGGGGCCCUGAGCGUGAUCUGCCCGUGCGGUGGGGAGCGUGUAGGGGUCGCAGAGACCAGGGGGAAGCGACUGUUUAUCAAAAACACAGGUCCGUGCGAAGUCGUAAGACGAGGUAUACGGACUGACUCCUGCCCGGUGCUGGAAGGUUAAGAGGAGUGGUUAGCCCUUUUGGGGGCGAAGCUGCGAAUUUAAGCCCCAGUAAACGGCGGUGGUAACUAUAACCAUCCUAAGGUAGCGAAAUUCCUUGUCGGGUAAGUUCCGACCUGCACGAAUGGAGUAACGACUUCCCUACUGUCUCAACCAUGAACUCGGUGAAAUUGCAGUACGAGUAAAGAUGCUCGUUUCGCGCAGCAGGACGGAAAGACCCCGUGACCUUUACUAUAGUUUGGUAUUGGUGUUUGGGUUGGCUUGUGUAGGAUAGGUGGGAGACUGUGAAGCCGCUACGCUAGUGGUGGUGGAGUCGUUGUUGAAAUACCACUCUGGUCAAUCUGAGCGUCUAACUUCGGGCCAUGAUCUGGUUCAGGGACAGUGCCUGAUGGGUAGUUUAACUGGGGCGGUUGCCUCCUAAAGUGUAACGGAGGCGCCCAAAGGUUCCCUCAGCCUGGUUGGCAAUCAGGUGUUGAGUGUAAGUGCACAAGGGAGCUUGACUGUGAGAGUGGCGACUCGAGCAGGGACGAAAGUCGGGACUAGUGAUCCGGCAGUGGCUUGUGGAAGCGCUGUCGCUCAACGGAUAAAAGGUACCUCGGGGAUAACAGGCUGAUCUUGCCCAAGAGUCCAUAUCGACGGCAUGGUUUGGCACCUCGAUGUCGGCUCGUCGCAUCCUGGGGCUGGAGUAGGUCCCAAGGGUUGGGCUGUUCGCCCAUUAAAGCGGUACGCGAGCUGGGUUCAGAACGUCGUGAGACAGUUCGGUCCCUAUCCGCUGCGCGCGUUGGAGAAUUGAGAAAGGCUGUCCUUAGUACGAGAGGACCGGGACGGACGAACCUCUGGUAUGUCAGUUGUACCGCCAGGUGCAUGGCUGAUUGGCUACGUUCGGGAGGGAUAACCGCUGA